This 327-nucleotide long non-coding RNA is filed under the name Manihot esculenta (cassava). RNAcentral's name for it is "long non-coding RNA (MESC_LNC004051)". Lineage: Eukaryota; Viridiplantae; Streptophyta; Magnoliopsida; Malpighiales; Euphorbiaceae. The record is from RNAcentral.
ACAAUCUCAAGUCAAAGGAUUAAGACAUAACUACUUUGAGAUUCACUUAUGACAAUGACCCAUGUAGUGAUCUCAAUGCGGGUCCGUCCAAUACUUUGUUCUCUAACAAGUAUUUAUGAUUAUUGAUUUAUAUCAACAUAUACAUAAUCAUCUCAUGAUUAUCAAUCAAUAAUCAUACUAGUUAUAUUUUAUUAUUAUCAACAUAAUAAUAAGUAACCAGGGAUGAUAAUCAUUAUUAUGUAACAUGCAAACAAAUAAUAAUGAUAAAAACCUCUUUUAUUAAUAACCAAAAUGACAUACAAAAAGGUCCAAGAUAAUGGCCUAGGG